This 420-nucleotide ribosomal RNA is filed under the name Chloroflexota bacterium. Its description in RNAcentral is "Chloroflexi bacterium partial 16S ribosomal RNA". It matches the Rfam family "Bacterial small subunit ribosomal RNA", at positions 355 to 776 of the family's 1533-position model. The record is from RNAcentral. Lineage: Bacteria; Bacillati; Chloroflexota.
UGGGGGAUAUUGCACAAUGGGCGAAAGCCUGAUGCAGCGACGCCGCGUGGGGGAUGAAGGCUUUCGGGUUGUAAACCUCUUUCGCUAUCGAACAAGGCCCGCUUAGGGUGGGUUGAGGGUAGGUGGAGAAGAAGCGCCGGCUAACUACGUGCCAGCAGCCGCGGUAAUACGUAGGGCGCGAGCGUUGUCCGGAAUUAUUGGGCGUAAAGGGCUUGUAGGCGGCUUGUUGCGCCUGCUGUGAAAACGCGGGGCUUAACUUCGCGCGUGCAGUGGGUACGGGCAGGCUUGAGUGUGGUAGGGGUGACUGGAAUUCCAGGUGUAGCGAUGGAAUGCGCAGAUAUCUGGAGGAACACCGAUGGCGAAGGAAGGUCACUGGGCCAUUACUGACGCUGAGGAGCGAAAGCAUAGGUAGCGAACAGG